UUUUGAUUGAGACGUAGAAGCUUUUAAAGAUGUCAGUAAGGUUGAGCUCAUGGUCGGAAUUUCAGAAACUCACCACAAUUUUGUUUUGUUUUGUUUUGUUUGUUGGUGCUCGGCUUUUAUAGCGGAGAGGAGGGAAAAUAUAAACAAAACAUUGGUAGCGGAAGUAAAGAAACGCAAGGAAACAAAUGAACGGAAAACUGGGUUACCGAUAUCUUCACAGCGAAGUUGACAGAGAAAAUGUCUCAGUUAUAGUUACGGGAAUGUAAAAACAGCAACACCGGUUGUCAAGCAGUGAUGGAGGACAAACAAACAAAAAGACACGCUCUCUCUCUCUCUCUCUCUCUCUCUCUCUCUCUCUCUCUCUCUCUCUCUCUCUCUCUCUCUGUCUCUCUCUCUCUCUCUCUCUCUCUGUCUCUC
Long non-coding RNA from Octopus bimaculoides (California two-spot octopus), 417 nucleotides. RefSeq lists it as uncharacterized. NCBI's taxonomy places the organism in Eukaryota, Metazoa, Mollusca, Cephalopoda, Octopoda, Octopodidae. The record is from RefSeq and is a predicted model, not a curated record.